AGAAACUACGGUCUGGUGGAAGCAUAAGGCGGAGCUUAGCUCCUACUUUUUUGUUUUGAUGCGUUUUUGUCUUGAAGCCUAUUGCUUGUAACUGUUAAGUCUGUCGAGUACUAAGCCGAUUCUAUUUCAAGGGUAGCGAGUCGAAACGGGACAUGGAGACCAUGAUUAAACGACCCGACUAAAAUUUUGCACUUCGGGCAUAUUGAGCGCAGCAAGAAAUCACGCCAGGAAUUCAUCUGGGAGCAGUAGGCUAUAAACAUAUAAUUGGAGGAUUAUCCCCGCUAAAAUAAUUGGGCAACUUUUAACGGAUGUAGGCUACUGUCAUCGUGUUUUUUUUUUUUUUAACCUAGUGUGUUAGGCUACUGGAGGACAGAACAGAUUCGUUUAGCCCUUGAUUAUAGUCAGCUGGACAUUGGAGCGGACCCUCUGUGGCCAAAAUAGGGACACAUUGGGACCAAACAGCAUCCCUUUGUGAUCAAAGUGGAGGCGUCCCCCUGCCUAUCUCAGUUGCUCAAUUUACUAUUGUUCUCGUUUUGUUUUAUGUUGUCUUGUCUCGUGUUUUGUCUGCUGUCUUAUGUAUUUAAAAAAAUAAUAAUCUUCCACCUACAAAAUAAUCAAAGUGAAUCACUGGGAUAAUUUCACCCAAUCCCUAAUUGACCCAAAGUCUUUAUGCAUCUGAAUUAAUUGGAUAGUUGUAAGCAAUAUCUUCAUAGCUGCACCUUGCCCUCUGAUAAACUCACAGGAAUUGUGUACUCCAAUCCUUACAGAUCUAGGAGGGAGUAGGGGCUAGAGGUUGAUUUGGGAUUGGGCAAGACACAAAUUUGGAUCACUGACAGAAGCACACUGUAUAGCAUAACAUUAGCAUAAGGACUGUCACAUGCUAGCACUAGUGGCUAUGUUGGCACAGCUUGCAGUUGGUUGAGAGAGCAUAUGUGGGUGACUUAAUCAUCACACACAGACAACACACUCACAUACUCAGACACAGGUUCACUGGUGCGUGCACGCAUAGCUGCACACAUGCAUGUAUUCACGUACUGUCUCUCUUUCUCUCACGUACCACACUCUCUCUCUCU
This 1073-nucleotide long non-coding RNA is filed under the name Salmo salar (Atlantic salmon). RNAcentral describes it as "lncRNA (ENSSSAG00000091392.1)". Lineage: Eukaryota; Metazoa; Chordata; Actinopteri; Salmoniformes; Salmonidae. The record is from RNAcentral.